RNAcentral lists this transfer RNA (541 nucleotides) under uncultured Prochlorococcus sp. Its description in RNAcentral is "partial 16S-23S ribosomal RNA intergenic spacer". The stretch from base 212 to 284 matches the Rfam family "tRNA". The record is from RNAcentral. Lineage: Bacteria; Bacillati; Cyanobacteriota; Cyanophyceae; Synechococcales; Prochlorococcaceae.
CAGGGAGACAACAAAAUGUUUAAUAUUAUUAUUUUGUCACCUUAGGUCGAUCGGUAUCUCACGUUUUUAAUUUAUUAAGAAUUUCAUUUCCUAAGUUUUUCUAGGUCACACCCAUUAUUUUUCCUGGGCCAUUAGCUCAGGUGGUUAGAGCGCACCCCUGAUAAGGGUGAGGUCCCUGGUUCAAGUCCAGGAUGGCCCAUAUCUCUAUGUUGGGGGUAUAGCUCAGUUGGUAGAGCGCCUGCUUUGCAAGCAGGAUGUCAGCGGUUCGAGUCCGCUUACCUCCACUGAUUACCACCUCUUCCAUAACCGGUAGAAAGGAAAUGUUUUGAGUUGUGAUCAAAUUCUGAAAGAAUCUAGCUUCCUAAUGAAAUCAUUAAGAUGCUGGACUCAUUGAAUUAUUUUCAUUGUUUUCAGAGAACCUUGACAACUGCAUAGAUUAUUUUUAAAGACAAUAAGCAUCUUUAAUGAUGCAGAUUUAUUAUUUGUGCGAAUGCAUUAAUAACAAUUCUAUUAAGCUGAUGCUUCAAUUUUUGAAGUUAUU